GGGACUGUAGCUCAGCUGGAUUCAGAGCAAGCGAUUUCUAAUCGCUCGGCCGGCGGUUCGAGUCCGUCCAGUCCCG
This 76-nucleotide transfer RNA is filed under the name Haloarcula vallismortis. RNAcentral describes it as "tRNA_Arg_TCT". It matches the Rfam family "tRNA". Rfam says of the family: Transfer RNA (tRNA) molecules are approximately 80 nucleotides in length. Their secondary structure includes four short double-helical elements and three loops (D, anti-codon, and T loops). RNAcentral also lists the same sequence under 1 other name. The record is from RNAcentral. Lineage: Archaea; Methanobacteriati; Methanobacteriota; Halobacteria; Halobacteriales; Haloarculaceae.